Molecule: non-coding RNA, 24 nt
Filed under: Arabidopsis thaliana (thale cress)
Lineage: Eukaryota; Viridiplantae; Streptophyta; Magnoliopsida; Brassicales; Brassicaceae
Source: RNAcentral
AGCUACCAGAUUAUGAGAAGCGUA